CAGCAGCAGACUGGUUGACCAAGAGUUAGAGGAGAAGCAGGAGAGGAUUAGAGGAACGUUUUGAAAUCAGCUACUGCUUUGGGGCAAAGAUUGAAAAUGGGAACUAAAGGAGUCUUGUUUAUUCUACUCAUACUUAAAGCAAGUACAAUGAAAACGGUGGCACAGAACCCAACAACAACCACAGCUGCUACAACAACCACA
Molecule: non-coding RNA, 201 nt
Organism: Poecilia reticulata (guppy)
Lineage: Eukaryota; Metazoa; Chordata; Actinopteri; Cyprinodontiformes; Poeciliidae
Source: RefSeq, a predicted model, not a curated record